CAAGGCAACGAUAGCAUACACGACUUGAGAUGGGUGAUCGGACUCACUUGGACUGAUGCCAGCGCCCAGACGUCGUACAGGCAGGCAGCAGUAGGGCAUCUUUCGCAAUGAACGGAAGUCUGACAGCAGCUAACGCUGUCUGAGGGAUGACAGGGCUCUCGGUGACGGUAAUCUCUGUUGUUAGAAAUGAACAAGUACGAUGAGUCAGCUGCUGUACCUCGACGGUACUUCAUCAGAAAUCCACGUCUAAAUACGUCUCAGCAGCCGCGGUAAUACGUAGGUGGCAAGCGUUAUCCGGAAUUAUUGGGCGUAAAGCGCGCGCAGGCGGUUUUUUAAGUCUGAUGUGAACGCGCUCGGUUCAACCGUGGAGGGUCAUUGGAAACUGGGGAACUUGAGUGCAGAAGAGAAAAGCGGAAUUUCACGUGUAGCGGUGAAAUGAGUAGAGAUGUGGUGGAACACCAGCGGCGAAGGCGGCUCUUUGGUCUGUAACUGACGAUGAGGCGCGAAAGCGUGGGGAGCAAACAGGAUUAGAUACCCUGGUAGUACCCGCCGUAAGCGAUGAGUGCUAAGUGUUAGAGGGUCUCCACCCUUUAGUGAUGCAGCUCACGCAUUAAGCACUCCGCCUGGGGAGUACGGUCGCAAGACUGAAACUCAAAGGAAUUGACGGGGGCCCGCACAAGCGGUGGAGCAUGUGGUU
Molecule: ribosomal RNA, 697 nt
Filed under: Bacillus sp. (in: firmicutes)
Lineage: Bacteria; Bacillati; Bacillota; Bacilli; Caryophanales; Bacillaceae
Description: bacterial SSU rRNA
Rfam family: Bacterial small subunit ribosomal RNA
Source: RNAcentral